Long non-coding RNA from Amphiprion ocellaris (clown anemonefish), 937 nucleotides. The record is from Ensembl. Lineage: Eukaryota; Metazoa; Chordata; Actinopteri; Pomacentridae.
CACCGCCAUCUGCUAUUGUUCAACAGGGUUCGUCUACCACAGGUGAGGAGUGAAUCAUAUUUGCUGGUGUGUGCAGAAGGGGGGGAACUCCAAGCCUGGGAGAGACAUUGUUGUACUGAACUCUCCUGAAUGAACCUGAAGCCUGUUUAUUCCUCGGCCCAGCUCCCGAUCCACUUGCUGCCUGGACACACUCCUCCCUGACUACAUUCAGACAUGCACAUCAUCAAACUGGACUUGUAUUCCACAUCGAAUCCUCUCUGAAUCCAAGGCCAGCCUUGUUUCAAGAACCUCCACAAACCAUGCCCCGGCAUCUCCCACUCACAGACUCCCUAAACAUUGUCCCUCUUCCUACUGCCAGCUAAGUAGAGUUGCUCAUUUCCAAGCUCAUAUCCUUGUUAAUGUUAGCGAUAGCGAUUGUGUGUUUUGGGUCUAGCAGUUUCUGUUUCGCCAUGUCUGAGUGUAGAAGUAGCUUGUACUUUGUGUAAGUACCGGAUUGCGCAUCCCUGAUCAGUUCGGGCCUUUGUACUCGCCCUGUAGAUCUCUGUUCUGGUCAGUAACCCCUGUCCUGUGUGAGCAUUAGCUUUACUGUUAACACUGCGGUGUAGUUUCCUGAAGGCUCUAUGUCAGUUCGAUAAGUUUGUCCUUCUCAGUUCCUGUAGUCAUUUUUUCGCUUCCGAGUGUAGGUCUCAAUUUCCCCUCCAGAGGUUGCUAGAGAUUUUCCUGUUUCUCCUUUCCCCUUUUGUAAAAUAAACUCUUUGAAUUUUAACCCUCGUCUGUUGUGGUCCUGUCUGCACUCGGGUCUUUAAUGUUCUGUGUCACCUUCAGCUGUUUUCAGAUGACAAGAUCAUAUUACUCUCACUUUAGUCCUUCUUUCCAGGCAACAUCUUUGUUUAGAAUUUAUUUCAACAUUAUACAGACAUUCUCAUACUUUUCUGAC